RNAcentral lists this long non-coding RNA (939 nucleotides) under Homo sapiens (human). Its description in RNAcentral is "HSALNT0339913". The record is from RNAcentral. Lineage: Eukaryota; Metazoa; Chordata; Mammalia; Primates; Hominidae.
AUUCUUUUGCUCCGCUCCGUCCUGCCUGCUUCGGAGCUCUGCCUUCCAGCCGGGCUCGGCUGUGCUUUGUCCGGAGAUGGCGAGCGAAGGGAAGCCCCGGCCAGGCCAGGCCUGGCGGCUCCCGCUGGAGAUUGGGCGCGCUCCGUUCCCGGCGCCGCGGCAGCAGCUUUGCAACUCGCAACCUGGCUAAUUUCCUGCGUCCUCUGGCACCAGGAAAGAGGACAAUUCUUCUCUCGGGCUGCCCAAGCGACAGCUGUCAGAGGGGCAGGAGCUUCUGGGAGCCACCGUCUGAAGGCUACGUGUGCCGCCUGGCCAUUCAAACUGUCAAUUUUAGGUCCAGAAGUGUCCAAACCACAAGUUCUCAAAACUCUCUGAAAAAUGGCUCCCUCCGAGUUAAGGUCUUGGAGCUGGAGAAGGAGUUCCACUUCAAUCGAUACCUGACCCGGCGGCGCCGCAUCGAGAUCGCCCACACGCUCUGUUUGUCUGAGCGCCAGGUCAAGAUCUGGUUUCAGAACCGGAGGAUGAAGUGGAAGAAAGACCACAAACUGCCCAACACCAAGAUGCGAUCCUCCAAUUCGGCCUCGGCCUCUGCCGGCCCACCAGGGAAAGCACAAACUCAGAGCCCACACCUCCAUCCCCACCCCCACCCGAGCACCUCCACACCCGUUCCCUCCUCCAUAUAAUCUUCUAGAGAUCUUAACCAGUUUCUAUCCCUUACCUGCUUUUCUCUUCUCUUCUCCUGCUCCGUUCCUCAUCCACCCCUCCCCAUCUGGACCAUAAUAGACACCAAAACAAACCCAAAUUGGUGAAAAGAAUAAUCAAAAAGAAGACAUUAUCCGGUUAAGAGUCUGUGCUGGUUGCCACCCAAGAGAGAACAGUUGUCCAGGAUGCUGGCUGGUGGAACAACCUGCUGGCCCGAAACAAGGCUGCCAGGUGUGG